UGGGGAAUAUUGCACAAUGGGGGAAACCCUGAUGCAGCGACGCCGCGUGAAGGAUGAAGGAUUUCGGUUCGUAAACUUCUAUCAGCAGGGAAGAUAGUGACUGUACCUGACUAAGAAGCCCCGGCUAACUACGUGCCAGCAGCCGCGGUAAUACGUAGGGGGCAAGCGUUAUCCGGAAUUACUGGGUGUAAAGGGUGCGUAGGCGGUUUGUUAAGCCAGAUGUGAAAGCCCGGGGCUCAACCUCGGGACUGCAUUUGGAACUGGCCAACUAGAAUACAGGAGAGGUAAGUGGAAUUCCUAGUGUAGCGGUGAAAUGCGUAGAUAUUAGGAGGAACACCAGUGGCGAAGGCGACUUACUGGACUGUUAUUGACGCUGAGGCACGAAAGCGUGGGGAGCGAACAGG
This 404-nucleotide ribosomal RNA is filed under the name uncultured bacterium. RNAcentral describes it as "bacterial SSU rRNA". It matches the Rfam family "Bacterial small subunit ribosomal RNA", at positions 355 to 776 of the family's 1533-position model. The record is from RNAcentral.